Dermochelys coriacea (leatherback sea turtle) is the source of this 3324-nucleotide long non-coding RNA. RefSeq lists it as uncharacterized. NCBI's taxonomy places the organism in Eukaryota, Metazoa, Chordata, Testudines, Dermochelyidae. The transcript is spliced from 4 exons. The record is from RefSeq and is a predicted model, not a curated record.
GAGCAAAACCCUCUCCUCCAAACCUUUACCUCUGAUCUCCCGCUGCUGGGCCGCAAACCGACCCCUCACCCCAGCGAAGCCGGUGGCAGAUGUGUGACAGUCUCUCCCAAAUGCUCAGCACGGGCAACAGGAAACCACCCAGCCUUCAUUUUUGCUUGUUGCCUGGCCUGGUCUGCAGAGGCCUCUGCAUGGGCUAUUAAAAUGCCUUCUCUUUUUUUCUUGUCUCUACCUCCCUCUGCACCUGCUUUUCCUCUUUAUCUCUUUUCCUCUCAUUGCCUUUUGUCUUCCCGUGUUUAUUUUCUUUUGUCCUCUCUUCUCUUAUCCCACUUCAAAUCUUUGUCACAUUAUUUCUCACUGUGCCAUUUCCAUCAGUUCUCUCUUCCCUCCUUUCCCUCUUUAAUUUUUACUCCCUGCCCUUCCCUGUCAGCUUUUUCCAUUUCACCCUUUGCCAAUUCAAGUAUAGAUCAGUCAGAUUGCACUUAUUUUUUGGAUAGUUUUGUAUUCAGUCCAAGGCAGUUAAAUCUUACAUGAAGGAUUUCACUAUGUGUUUCAGUGACACACUUGAACUCUCAUCCGUGCUUCUGUGAUAUCCCCCACUAUUCACAGUGUCUCAACUUGAAAGUUUGGAGAAGAAGCAGAUAUCCAUCACAAAAAACUACAAAAAAGAACAGAUGGCCUAGUGAUAUGAAACUAUGUGUAAUGAACUGUACCAGCACUGAGGAAGAGUUUUAUACAAUUGCACUUUAACAUGGAUUUCAAAUUUGCUCAUCGACUUUAAACAGCUCCCACUCUCCAUUGCCGUUUAAAGAACAGUCAGACUGGGCAAUAUUCUCCACUAUAAUGCAGUCAUCCUCGUUGACAUCAUGGUCUCCUUCGAGAACAGGACCCUGGCCUUCCGUGAAUCCCGAGCUCGUAAGCUGGAAAAAUAGGCCCCCCGGCCGACACCCUGAGAGCGAAGGGCUACGAGGUGCAGAUGAAUGCCCUACUUGUCGGAGCCCUGGGCGCUUGGGACCCCUGCAAUGAGUGUGUGCUGCGGACCUGUGGGAUCGGUCGACGCUACGCAUGGCUCAUGUGGCGGCUCAUGGUCUCGGACACCAUCCGAUAGUCCAGGGACAUCUACAUCGAACACAUCACCAGCCACCGACAGUACCAGGAGGUGUGAGCCAGUACGACAUCAUGCAUCAACUAUGGGAAAGGGACUGAGAGACUUUUUCCAUUGGACCAUAUGAACUGGAACCAUAAACUCACUGAACAUUAAAUCCCACCAAAUGAGGAUAGAUCCAUCUUCGUCAUCGUAUCCGCUCAUUAUAUUCCACACACCUGAAUAUAGCCAUUAUAUGGACAACAUACCUCCAUAGCUCAAUGUCUGUACUUUGACCCGUUAAACUUUUACCCCCAAUCGGGGAGAUUGCAGAUUAUGUAUUCCUUACGGCACCCGCUCCUAAACAAAUUUCGCACCCCUUGAUAAUCUGUGCCUUAUUGCCUGAUAACCAGAAACUUCUAUGCCGAAACUCUGUACUGUUUUAUUUUUACUUCAACAUCAUCUUAAUAAAAUUAUUAAAUAUGACCUUAAAGAUGGUUUAACGGUCAAGGGAAGAUCACAGUUUAAGAAGAAAUCUCCAAAUGCAUGUAGCCUGUGUAGGAGUUUUUUUAUUCUCUUCUUCACCCAGCUGUCAGUCUAUUGGGGUGGGGGGAAGAAUGUGUAACUGGGGAAAAGGGUGCCUGGCCAGAACACCAAUCCUCAGCGGCUUUUCAGCAAAAUGUAAAAUAGGACAGCCCUCAUGCAGCUUUCGACUGAAACGAUGCAGGAGGGUCAAUCCUGCACAGAGCUGCAGGAAAUUUAAGACACCUGUAAACAGGCACCCCUGACUGAUGCUCGUGCAGCUCAUCAGAACCCCAGGAUCUGGCUCUAGUCAUACAGUUUGCAAUUGAAAAUAAAUGUAGAGAGUAGCAAAGCUGGUCUGAUGGAAGCCAUUUGCUGCAACCUUGGAUCUCUGUAGCCUGGUAAAGCAGAAGUUUUUUAUUUGAGCCCUGGCAUGCUUAGUUUUGACUUAGAGUGCAACAUGGUUAUUAUGUGUCUAUAUUUAACCACAGUGGUUUUUGCAGUAGUGUUGCUGUGGUUUUUCUUUCAUAUUGCACACAUGCAACAGUGGAAUACAUAAAACAUUCUCAUUCCCAAAAGAAAUUUAAUUUUGCAGCAAUAAUUAAAUAGGAAGCUGCCACUAGAAAUUCCUGGCAGUUUUACAAAGUGGGAUGCAGCUCUGCUUUUGAAUGCAAGGGAAAGGCAGAGGACUAUCCAAGUAGCUAUACUUCACGUUGUCCAGAAAAGGUGUAUACUGUGUUCAUCAGAGUUUUUCCCUCUUCUACUCUCUCAGCUUCUGAUCGCUCCUUUUUUGCCUUCCCCCAACACAAUGGAACUUCUUAGUCCUCUGACAAAAGCCAUCCAGUUGGCUACCAGCCUCGCACUGUCAACCACUCCUCUGUGCUAUUGAUCAUCAGUCUUUAUUGGAGAUCCCUGAGAGAUCGGUCAGCUUCUGGGAAUGACAGAGGGGACCUUAACUUGGAGCCCAACUUGUGUUUGUGUUUAUGAACAGAUAUAUCAGUGCCCUACCCCUUCAGUGGUUGAGAAUAGUCCGUCACAGACUCUCCCCUACUAGAAGUAGGGAGUCCUAUUCCACGAUACUCCUUUGUUUGGGGGAGGGGGCAAGAGGAUCCCAGUCUGAAAGUCCCUUAUGUGGCAUUCAAAUAGCAUGGAAGGCAAUUUGGACCCCAUUCAGGGGUGUUUCAUGGUAGACCCCUGAAUUUCCUGUACUUAUGUUUUUUCACUCACUUCUUGAUCAAUUUGACACUAAUGUUUCAGUACUCUAUGAAUAGGAAAGUGUUGGCCUCUGACUCCCAAGGCUCCAAACCAGAAGAAAUAAAAACAUGACACUAAUGGAGUUUUCUUGUUCUCAUUUCAGGAAAAGACCAUCUCUGACUUAGAGGCAUUUAGCUUCAAAUCCAUUAGUCUCUUUGAGCUUUGGUCAGGGAAUUAUGUAGUUCCUCUCAUUCCUUCUUCAUUAAAACAUACCUCCCCUGCACAUGCUGGAGGACUUGGCUGAGGUACUUGUGUCUGUAGCAUGUUUUGCUGUGCUAAUAUCUUCCUCUCAAAAACAAAUGACAAAUACGUGUGAGAAUGUAAUCUAGGCAUAAGUUUUCUGUAUAUCACUAUGCAAGUGCUUAUAAUCUUAAUGGUUCAUAUACCACAUAAUAAAUGAUUCCAUAGUAGAAUUCAAAUGUUCAUAAGGUUUCUUUUAACUAAUGUUGGCUCUGGAAUGUCAAAAU